AUCAAAACUCUUGCGUAACUUUGCAGUCUGAGUAAAUUUAAUUAAUAAAUUAAAACUUUCAACAACGGAUCUCUUGGUUCUGGCAUCGAUGAAGAACGCAGCGAAAUGCGAUAAGUAAUGUGAAUUGCAGAAUUCAGUGAAUCAUCGAAUCUUUGAACG
Molecule: ribosomal RNA, 159 nt
Filed under: Trichoderma koningii
Lineage: Eukaryota; Fungi; Ascomycota; Sordariomycetes; Hypocreales; Hypocreaceae
Description: 5.8S ribosomal RNA
Rfam family: 5.8S ribosomal RNA (bases 54-159)
About the family: 5.8S ribosomal RNA (5.8S rRNA) is a component of the large subunit of the eukaryotic ribosome.
Source: RNAcentral